This 576-nucleotide ribosomal RNA is filed under the name uncultured eukaryote. RNAcentral describes it as "bacterial SSU rRNA". It matches the Rfam family "Eukaryotic small subunit ribosomal RNA", at positions 203 to 788 of the family's 1831-position model. The record is from RNAcentral.
AACCAAUCGACUUUUUAUUAAGUCGUAAUAAAUUGAUGAAUUCUGAGUAACUACUUUAUUAGCGAACCGCAUGAUCUCGUAUCGGCGGUCUGUCGGUCAAGCAACUGCCUUAUCAGCUUGUCAUUAGGUUAUAUGCCUAACAAGGCGUCAACGGGUAACGAACGAUUGGGGUCUGACAUCGGAGAGGGAGCCUGAGAAACGGCUACCACGUCUAAGGAAGGCAGCAGGCGCGUAAAUUACCCAAUCCUGACUCAGGGAGGUAGUGACAAGAAAUAACGGACCGAGGCCCUCGGGCCUCGGGAUUGCAAUGAGCCGAAUUUACACCCCUUAGCGAGGAUCGAUUGGGGGGCAAGUCUGGUGCCAGCAGCCGCGGUAAUUCCAGCUCCAAUAGCGUAUAUUAAAGUUGUUGCAGUUAAAAAGCUCGUAGUUGGAUUUCUGGGAGGGUGCCAAUGUCCGCCGACGUGCGUGUGCAGCGGCGCCCUUCCAUCCUUCUGUUAACGCCUCUUGGCAUUCAUUUGCUGGUGGCGGGCUCAGAUAUUUUACCUUGAGAAAAUUAGAGUGUUUCAGGCAGGCUAG